This 74-nucleotide transfer RNA is filed under the name Thiobacillus sp. RNAcentral's name for it is "tRNA-Gln". It matches the Rfam family "tRNA". From Rfam's summary of the family: Transfer RNA (tRNA) molecules are approximately 80 nucleotides in length. Lineage: Bacteria; Pseudomonadati; Pseudomonadota; Betaproteobacteria; Nitrosomonadales; Thiobacillaceae. The record is from RNAcentral.
CGGNNGUCGCCAAGUGGUAAGGCAUCGGAUUUUGAUUCCGACAUUCGUAGGUUCGAUCCCUACCUCCCCAGCCA